GGCGACGAGCGCCGGCGUGUGGGGCUUUACUUUGUUUGCGCUUCCACACGCGUGUGCGCCACACACACACACACACACACACACACACACCUGCUUCUUCUUCCCUUCCCGUGCUCUGCAACCCCGAUACCGACACCAACAGCUUCGCCACAACAGACGCAGCCGCCAUGCUCAUGUGCACCAAGACUUCGCUACCUCCCCGGGCCCCCUCGCCUCUUCUUCUUCGUUGCUCGGCCCCUUUCGUUCCUCUGCGCCCGUCUUCCCGUACCAUCGCUAUCGGCGCAGUGUCGCGGCGACGGCGGUGCAGACAAGUUCUUCUUCCUGCUCGCCUCCCUUUCGAAUCGCGCAUUGUCGUGGGCUUCCGGUUGUCUUCGUGUGUUGCGCUCACCCCCCUUCAUAUAUUUUGGUUAGUCGCCCUCCCACCUUUCCCCCAGCCAUACUCGUAACCCACUCCUUCUUCGUAAGCCUUCAGCAUGUCGGGCCUGCCACGUCCUCUCUUCCCUCUGCAGCCUCCCUUUUUUUGUUGACUGGCACCUUGCUCACGCCCUCGGCCACGCCUCCACUCUCCUAGCUCGUGCGCGUAUGCCGGCGUGUGUCCGCGGAUGAGUCGAAUUCGUGCCUCGCCAUCCUUCCCCACCACACAGACACAGGGGAAGCUGGAUAGAUGCGCAAAGACAUCACAGGCUUGCACAUCAGCGCUGCUGCCCCCACCCCCUCCGCUCCCUCUUUGAUGCAUCUCUUCGGUUGCGUUGCCGUUGCUGUGGCGGCGCUGGCCGUUCUCUUCCGAGUUCUUUUCUUCGGUUGCUGCGCUGGAAGCUUGCCGUGGUCUUUCCCCUCCUCCCCACUUCGUUUUGGUGUGUGUCUCUUCUCUGUGCCCUCCGCCCCGCUCACACCACACGUGCGCGUGUGCCUCUUCACCGAUGUGGCGAUCCUUUCUCGCUUUCUUGGUGUUUGUGUGUGCUCUCUUGUCUUCUUUUUGCACCUUUGUGGUGGCGUGUGGGGCGGCUGCAGCCUCAGUCGGAGUGAGGGCACCGAUGAAACACGUGCGCGGGCACAGCUGGAGAACAUCCCGUGGUAAGAACCGCCCUUCUUCGCCCCGUUCGUCGGACCAAAAGGAGCCUCACAUACGUUCUCUGCAUUGCGGAGCCGUGCGUGUAAUGUGACCAGGUCUUUCUCUCCACCUUCUCCCCUCCCCUCCCCCCUUCUUCCUCUCACCUCGUGUGCGGACUGUCCGAUAAGAGGGAAGAUCGGUGGCCAGCACUCGGGCCAUCAGGGAGGGGGGGGCAGAGUAUUCCUCAGUAGGUAUCCUGCACAGGAGACCGCAAGGGCAGAUGCGCGCGGCUUGAUCUUUUGUGCUUGUCUUUGUCGCAGCACCGAAUCGCCUCCGUGCACAUCGGCAUCCCACCUCGCUCUCUACCUCGAAUCCUUUUUAUGGUUGCCCUUCCACCCCCUGUAUUGUUCCCCUUUUCAACGUGCGUGCGUGCGCCAUGAG
RNAcentral lists this unclassified non-coding RNA (1492 nucleotides) under Leishmania donovani. RNAcentral describes it as "gene:unknown". Lineage: Eukaryota; Euglenozoa; Kinetoplastea; Trypanosomatida; Trypanosomatidae. The record is from RNAcentral.